This 529-nucleotide small RNA is filed under the name Drosophila mojavensis. Its description in RNAcentral is "GI26291". The record is from RNAcentral. Lineage: Eukaryota; Metazoa; Arthropoda; Insecta; Diptera; Drosophilidae.
UCGCAUGCAACACUGUGUGUGAACAAGAGAGUGAAUGCGUAUGUGUGCGUGCGAGUGUGUGAGUUUGUGUGUGUGAAGAGAACGAAAUGCCAAUCAGUUGGUGCCGAGUUUUUGCUUCGUAUGCAGGUGGGCUGCGCUUCGCGCUAAAAUCGUAUAAGAAUCGCCACUUAAACAAUAUAAAAAAAUUCCAAUAGCCGAAAGCGAAGGCACUUGAUAAUAUAAAUCGCGGCGCAUGCUACGCCCACGCGUUCAAGUUCAGUGCAAGCGAGAAAACAACCAGCAAAAGCCAAAAGCACGGCGACAACAAGGCUAAAAAUGUGAAAAGAGAAAACGCCUCAACAAAAACAAAAACCACAAGAAUAUCAACAAUAGCAACAACAAAUAUCAAGAAAUAACAAGCAACAAAAGCGUUUCAAGCAGUCAACGUGCCACAAGUCAAAUCAAAUCGGAGACGCCUCACGUGCUCGUUGCAUUUUGGCCACGUGGCCGUGUCCAAUGGCCCAGUCGGGAGCAGAUGCCACAGCGACAA